RNAcentral lists this non-coding RNA (22 nucleotides) under Rattus norvegicus (Norway rat). The record is from RNAcentral. Lineage: Eukaryota; Metazoa; Chordata; Mammalia; Rodentia; Muridae.
CAUGUUCCACUGCUUUGCCAAU